Molecule: unclassified non-coding RNA, 707 nt
Filed under: Hevea brasiliensis (rubber tree)
Lineage: Eukaryota; Viridiplantae; Streptophyta; Magnoliopsida; Malpighiales; Euphorbiaceae
Source: RNAcentral
UUGGGAGACAUAAGCAAGAAUCUGAAAAUGAAACAUUGUAGCAAAUAGAAAUCAUAUAACAGUCUUGCAAUAGCUGCAGACUUCUAUGGGUGAUCUUCUCAUCUAAUAAAAUAGAUAAAAAAAAAUCAUGACAAGCCACCAUUAUAAGCUGUCCAAAUGCCUUUUCCAUCAAUUGUAUGGAUACAUAUGAUAAAAAAAAUUAUAAACCUCAUGUACCAAAAUGGAAGUGAGGUUAAGGUUGCUACCGUCAUUUGAAAACUCAUUAAAUUAAAUUUAAACUUAGGGAUAGGUCCUAUCCGAUAUCUUGCAAAUUACAGGACACACAUUAGAUUCACAUUAAAUGUUUGGAUAUUUUUUAGCAUUUAAAACCAAGACAUUAGGAGUAAAAACACAAGACCUCACAGAACAUGAUUUGACAAAACUAAUGCCUAAUAAGGAAAGCUUCAAAAACUAAAUUAUCAUGAGCUGCAAAUAUUAUAACAUUCAACAAUUCAAUAAAAUGUGGCAUAUGCAUAGAUUUAUUUAUUUAUUAUUAGUGAAUAUCAUUAUACUAUACUGCAAAGACAGAAAGUCUUGACAAUAUUCUUGUUACAUUAUCUCCAUAAACCACGGUCAUAUCCGUGCUUCAAGGACAAAGUAUCAAGUGCAGUAUACAAGAUUGAACUGCUAAAGAAAUUAGUAAAUAAACAAAUAAACAUACAAGUUAA